Mya arenaria is the source of this 293-nucleotide long non-coding RNA. RefSeq lists it as uncharacterized. The transcript is spliced from 3 exons. NCBI's taxonomy places the organism in Eukaryota, Metazoa, Mollusca, Bivalvia, Myida, Myidae. The record is from RefSeq and is a predicted model, not a curated record.
AUAUGGAUCGACAACCGUUUCAUUUGGGAUCCAACGUCAUUUUCAAACGUAACACUGCUGCACGUGCCUAGUGACGUCAUUUGGAAACCUGACAUUGUGCUAUCCAACAUUGCGACUGAAUACCCGAUAUCUAAGAAACCUGACGUCAACGUCGUUAUUAGCAGCGACGGUUUAAUUAGCUACAGACGUCUACAAACCAUCUACGCCUAUGGAUGUAAGGCGGCUCUCCAGGUCACCUGAAGAAUACAGUGGCUGUAACACGGUAUAUUUAUUAUCUCUUCAAUCAGUGUGGG